CGAACGCUGGCGGCGUGCUUAACACAUGCACGUCGUACGGUAAGGCCCUUUCGGGGGUCCACGAGUGGCGAACGGGUGAGUAACACGUGAGUAACCUGCCCACAACUUUGGGAUAACGCUAGGAAACUGGUGCUAAUACUGGAUAUGUGCUCCUGCUGCAUGGUGGGGGUUGGAAAGCUCCGGCGGUUGUGGAUGGACUCGCGGCCUAUCAGCUUGUUGGUGGGGUAGUGGCCUACCAAGGCGGCGACGGGUAGCCGGCCUGAGAGGGUGACCGGCCACAUUGGGACUGAGAGACGGCCCAGACUCCUACGGGAGGCAGCAGUGGGGAAUAUUGCACAAUGGGCGCAAGCCGGAUGCAGCAACGCCGCGUGCGGGAUGACGGCCUUCGGGUUGUAAACCGCUUUCAGCAGGGACGAAGCUUUUUGUGACGGUACCUGCAGAAGAAGCACCGGCUAACUACGUG
Molecule: ribosomal RNA, 463 nt
Filed under: uncultured bacterium
Lineage: Bacteria
Description: partial 16S ribosomal RNA
Rfam family: Bacterial small subunit ribosomal RNA
Source: RNAcentral